AAAGGAAUAGACGGGGACCCGCACAACCAGUGGAGCAUGUGGUUUAAUUCGAGACGAAACGAAGGACCUUACCAGGCCUUGACAUUUUACCGUUUUAAGUCACUAGAAAUAGAGACCUAUCUUUAGAAAUAUUGAUGGUAAGACAGGUGCUGCAUGGCCGUCGUCAGCUCGUGCCGUAGGGUGUUCCCUUCAGUGGGGUAACGAGCGCAACCCUUGCCCUGAGUUGAAUAUUCUCGGGGGACUUCCUAAAUUUAUUUUAGGAGGAAGUAAGGACGACGUCAGGUCAGCAUGGCCCUUAUAGCCUGGGCAACACACAUGCUACAAUGGAGCCGACAAAGGGUAGCCAAGCCGCGAGGCGGAGCUAAUCCCAUAAACGGCUUCUCAGUGGGGAUUGAAGGCUGCAACUCGCCUUCAUGAACGCGGAAUUGGUAGUAAUCGCGCAUCAGCUAUGGCGCGGUGAAUACGUUCUCGGGUCUUGUACACACCGCCCGU
This 492-nucleotide ribosomal RNA is filed under the name uncultured bacterium. RNAcentral's name for it is "bacterial SSU rRNA". It matches the Rfam family "Bacterial small subunit ribosomal RNA", at positions 903 to 1397 of the family's 1533-position model. The record is from RNAcentral.